This 540-nucleotide ribosomal RNA is filed under the name uncultured bacterium. RNAcentral describes it as "bacterial SSU rRNA". It matches the Rfam family "Bacterial small subunit ribosomal RNA", at positions 355 to 896 of the family's 1533-position model. The record is from RNAcentral.
UGAGGAAUAUUGGUCAAUGGACGGAAGUCUGAACCAGCCAAGUAGCGUGCAGGAAGACGGCCCUAUGGGUUGUAAACUGCUUUUGUAUGGGGAUAAAGUCAAUCACGUGUGAUUGUUUGCAGGUACCAUACGAAUAAGGACCGGCUAAUUCCGUGCCAGCAGCCGCGGUAAUACGGAAGGUUCGGGCGUUAUCCGGAUUUAUUGGGUUUAAAGGGAGCGUAGGCCGGAGAUUAAGUGUGUUGUGAAAUGUAGACGCUCAACGUCUGACUUGCAGCGCAUACUGGUUUCCUUGAGUACGCACAACGUUGGCGGAAUUCGUCGUGUAGCGGUGAAGUGCUUAGAUAUGACGAAGAACUCCGAUUGCGAAGGCAGCUGACGGGAGCGCAACUGACGCUGAAGCUCGAAGGUGCGGGUAUCGAACAGGAUUAGAUACCCUGGUAGUCCGCACAGUAAACGAUGGAUGCCCGCUGUUGGUACCUAGUAUCAGCGGCUAAGCGAAAGCAUUAAGCAUCCCACCUGGGGAGUACGCCGGCAACGGUG